UAGUUGGAUUCGGGUAGGGGGCGCCGGUCCGCUUCGGUGUGCACUGGCGGCCCAUACCUUCUUGUCGGGGAUGCGCUCUGGUAUUGAUUUAUCGGACGCAGAGUCGGCGCAGUUACUUUGAAAAAAUUAGAGUGUUCAAAGCAGGCUUUCGCUUGAAUACAUUAGCAUGGAAUAACAUGAUAGGACUCCGGUUCCAUUGUGUUGGUCUUCGGGACUGGAGUAAUGAUUAAGAGGGACAGUUGGGGGCAUUCGUAUUUCAUUGUCAGAGGUGAAAUUCUUGGAUUUAUGAAAGACGAACUUCUGCGAAAGCAUUUGCCAAGGAUGUUUUCAUUAAUCAAGAACGAAAGUUGGGGGCUCGAAGAUGAUUAGAUACCAUCGUAGUCUCAACCAUAAACGAUGCCGACUAGGGAUUGGCGGAUGUUACUUGAUGACUUCGCCAGCACCUUGUGAGAAAUCAAAGUCUUUGGGUUCCGGGGGGAGUAUGGUCGCAAGGCUGAAACUUAAAGGAAUUGACGGAAGGGCACCACCAUGGCGUGGAGCCUGCGGCUUAAUUUGACUCAACACGGGGAAACUUACCAGGUCCAGACACAAUAAUGAUUGACAGAUUGAUAGCUCUUUCUUGAUUCUGUGGGUGGUGGUGCAUGGC
This 646-nucleotide ribosomal RNA is filed under the name uncultured prasinophyte. RNAcentral's name for it is "SSU rRNA". It matches the Rfam family "Eukaryotic small subunit ribosomal RNA", at positions 631 to 1288 of the family's 1831-position model. The record is from RNAcentral. Lineage: Eukaryota; Viridiplantae; Chlorophyta.